Molecule: ribosomal RNA, 302 nt
Filed under: uncultured bacterium
Lineage: Bacteria
Description: partial 16S ribosomal RNA
Rfam family: Bacterial small subunit ribosomal RNA
Source: RNAcentral
GCAGUAGCCGCGGUAAUACGAAGGGUGCAAGCGUUAAUCGGAAUUACUGGGCGUAAAGCGUGCGUAGGCGGUUUGUUAAGUCUGUUGUGAAAUCCCCGGGCUCAACCUGGGGAUGGCAAUGGAUACUGGCAAGCUAGAGUGUGUCAGAGGAUGGUGGAAUUCCCGGUGUAGCGGUGAAAUGCGUAGAGAUCGGGAGGAACAUCAGUGGCGAAGGCGGCCAUCUGGGACAACACUGACGCUGAGGCACGAAAGCGUGGGGAGCAAACAGGAUUAGAUACCCCUGUAGUCCCUGUCUCUUAUAC